RNAcentral lists this ribosomal RNA (119 nucleotides) under Pseudohaemophilus parahaemolyticus. RNAcentral describes it as "Haemophilus parahaemolyticus partial 16S ribosomal RNA". It matches the Rfam family "Bacterial small subunit ribosomal RNA", at positions 1417 to 1533 of the family's 1533-position model. The record is from RNAcentral. Lineage: Bacteria; Pseudomonadati; Pseudomonadota; Gammaproteobacteria; Pasteurellales; Pasteurellaceae.
GUACCAGAAGUAGAUAGCUUAACCGCAAGGGGGGCGUUUACCACGGUAUGAUUCAUGACUGGGGUGAAGUCGUAACAAGGUAACCGUAGGGGAACCUGCGGUUGGAUCACCUCCUUACC